Zingiber officinale is the source of this 801-nucleotide long non-coding RNA. RefSeq lists it as uncharacterized. The record is from RefSeq and is a predicted model, not a curated record. The transcript has 3 exons. Lineage: Eukaryota; Viridiplantae; Streptophyta; Magnoliopsida; Zingiberales; Zingiberaceae.
UUUUCGGAACUCGUAUGGAGGGUUUUGAGGGGAUCGAUCGGCGGGCACGGAUAAAGCCUGUUUGGGAUACCAAUUUAAGUGAGGAAAUGUUUUAUUUAUAAAUUCAAAUUCUUUUCCUUUUGUUUCCCAAAAUCGCCGAUCCCUAACUCAUUCCUUCCCCGAUCUCCCCUGCUCGAAGCCGCGCCCUUCUCCCCUCUCUUCCUCCUGAUCUCUCCUCUGUGCUCUCUCUCGCGGACGAGCGAUGCCACGGGAUUAGGGUUCCAGCCCCGGCGAUCUUUCCUUGCCGGCAUCGGCAUCUAUUGAGCUUCAAUCCAGCCGCGGACCUUCUCUCUCGUUGACGGUCCGACGACCUCUCGGUGGCUAGGGCACGGCGAGGAGCCGGAUAUUGCAUCCUCUUCAACCGGUAGACCUUCCCUUUCCCCUCUUCUGGUUUCCUUCAUCCCGGUUCUCUGCGAUCUUAUCCAAUUGUUCCUGCCGAGCCCUAGCUCUGUUUCAGUGUCGUUGCCGGCCUUGAAGGUAAGCAACCGAUUCCUUCUCGUCUCUUGGUUGUCGCCUAUCUUUGAGGGAGGGGAGGUUCUGUGAAGGUGAUCUUGGAUCCCUUCUAUGUUGCUGUUGACUGAGGUCCCGGUUGGAGGUGAUGAGGUUGUGUACUGUUGGUGUUCUUGAUCUCACCUUGAACCCAAUUGAAUAGGGAAGGAUUUCAGGAGGAUUAUGUUCUGUGGAAACCAGUGAGGAUCUGAGAAGGUGAUCUUGGUUCCGAUAGGAAUAACCAUUUGAUCCAGCAUCAAUAGCAGCUGGGAC